UACAGAGGUCCCGAGCGUUGUUCGGAUUCACUGGGCGUAAAGGGUGCGUAGGUGGUGAGGUAAGUCGGAUGUGAAAUCUCCAGGCUCAACCUGGAAACUGCAUUGGAAACUACCUUGCUGGAGGAUUUGAGGGGGGAUUGGAAUACUUGGUGUAGCAGUGAAAUGCGUAGAUAUCAAGUGGAACACCAGUGGCGAAGGCGAAUCCCUGGAAAAUACCUGACACUGAGGCACGAAAGCUAGGGGAGCAAACAGG
Molecule: ribosomal RNA, 253 nt
Filed under: uncultured bacterium
Lineage: Bacteria
Description: partial 16S ribosomal RNA
Rfam family: Bacterial small subunit ribosomal RNA
Source: RNAcentral